Molecule: transfer RNA, 71 nt
Filed under: Ameiurus melas (black bullhead)
Lineage: Eukaryota; Metazoa; Chordata; Actinopteri; Siluriformes; Ictaluridae
Rfam family: tRNA
About the family: Transfer RNA (tRNA) molecules are approximately 80 nucleotides in length. Their secondary structure includes four short double-helical elements and three loops (D, anti-codon, and T loops).
Source: Rfam by way of RNAcentral
GCGUUGGUGAUUCAGUGGUAGAAUUCUAGCUUGCCAUGUUGGAGGCCUGGGUUCGAUUUCCAGCCAAUGCA